Erpetoichthys calabaricus (reedfish) is the source of this 765-nucleotide long non-coding RNA. RefSeq lists it as uncharacterized. The transcript has 2 exons. Lineage: Eukaryota; Metazoa; Chordata; Cladistia; Polypteriformes; Polypteridae. The record is from RefSeq and is a predicted model, not a curated record.
AAAAUUCCAACUGCCGCGCCCUGCAUGUUCUGAUACGUUAGACCACUGUGUGCCCACAGCAGGCAGGGGUAGUGCCAUGCUGGGCUCUUACUGAGUCAUUGCUGUCUCAGGCCACUUAAUAUACUGACGUCUUAACAAAUAUACAAUUUGAAGAAAACUACGCACAUACCUCUACGGAUCUUUCUCUUCAGGUGACCAAGUUGUCCCGUUUACGUAUCCUGUUUUCAACAAUAUCACAGGAGGACUGUGCAGCAUUUAUAUUUCUAAUUGAAAAAUAAAGAGAAGAUAUAAGAGAAUGAAGAUAAACAAGGUCAUCUUCAGUUUCAAAGCUCCAGAGAGGUGGGUUUGCACUUUGGCCUGUGUGGAGUCUGCUCAUUUGCACCAUGUUUAAAUGGCCUUUCCCCUACAUCCUAAAGACAUACCUGUGAGGGUUAACUGACGACUCUACACUGGUCUGUGAGAGUGAGGGUGUUUUGUGAUGUACAGCUGCCCCAUCCAGCACUUGUUUCUGUCUUGUCACUAAUGCCAUCUAGAUAGAUACUGGCUCUCCAUGACCCGGAAAUAAAAAAUGGAAUUAAAUGGAUUUUUUUUAUCUUUAUUUGACAGGAUCCAGGAUGUCUUAUAAAAUUAAAAAUAGUUAAUAUGUUUAAUAUAUAAGGGGGCGUGUGAGGAAUGACUUUCCUUUUGAUAGUAAGAGGACAUUAGAACAACUUUGAUUGUCGGUUCUAUUCUCCAAAAUAAAACCUAAGUUACAUGUUGUGUACA